AGUGAACGCUGGCGGUAGGCCUAACACAUGCAAGUCGAACGGCAGCACAGUAAGAGCUUGCUCUUACGGGUGGCGAGUGGCGGACGGGUGAGGAAUACAGCGGAAUCUACUUUUUCGUGGGGGAUAACGUAGGGAAACUUACGCUAAUACCGCAUACGACCUACGGGUGAAAGCAGGGGAUCUUCGGACCUUGCGCGAUUGAAUGGGCCGAUGUCGGAUUAGCUAGUUGGCGGGGUAAAGGCCCACCAAGGCGACGAUCCGUAGCUGGUCUGAGAGGAUGAUCCGCCCCACUGGAACUGAGCCACGGUCCAGACUCCUACGGGAGGCAGCAGCGGGGAAUAUUGGACAAUGGGCGCAAGCCUGAUCCAGCCAUACCGCGUGGGUGAAGAAGGCCUUCGGGUUGUAAAGCCCUUUUGUUGGGAAAGAAAAGCAGCAGGUUAAUACCCCGCUGUUCUGACGGUACCCAAAGAAUAAGCACCGGCUAACUUCGUG
RNAcentral lists this ribosomal RNA (492 nucleotides) under uncultured bacterium. RNAcentral's name for it is "partial 16S ribosomal RNA". It matches the Rfam family "Bacterial small subunit ribosomal RNA", at positions 29 to 507 of the family's 1533-position model. The record is from RNAcentral.